GUGGGGAAUUUUGGACAAUGGGGGCAACCCUGAUCCAGCCAUGCCGCGUGCGGGAAGAAGGCCUUCGGGUUGUAAACCGCUUUCGGCCGGAACGAAAUCGGCGGGAUGAAUAGUCUCGCUGGAUGACGGUACCGGAAGAAGAAGCACCGGCUAACUACGUGCCAGCAGCCGCGGUAAUACGUAGGGUGCGAGCGUUAAUCGGAAUUACUGGGCGUAAAGCGUGCGCAGGCGGCCGCGUAAGCCAGAGGUGAAAUCCCCGGGCUCAACCUGGGAAUGGCCUUUGGGACUGCGUGGCUCGAGUGCGGCAGAGGGGGGUGGAAUUCCUGGUGUAGCAGUGAAAUGCGUAGAUAUCAGGAGGAACACCGAUGGCGAAGGCAGCCCCCUGGGCCAGCACUGACGCUCAUGCACGAAAGCGUGGGGAGCAAACAGGAUUAGAAACCCCAGUAGUCC
Molecule: ribosomal RNA, 450 nt
Filed under: uncultured bacterium
Lineage: Bacteria
Description: bacterial SSU rRNA
Rfam family: Bacterial small subunit ribosomal RNA
Source: RNAcentral